AUUGAACGCUGGCGGCAUGCCUUACACAUGCAAGUCGAACGGUAACAGGUCUUCGGAUGCUGACGAGUGGCGAACGGGUGAGUAAUACAUCGGAACGUGCCUAGUAGUGGGGGAUAACUACUCGAAAGAGUGGCUAAUACCGCAUGAGAUCUACGGAUGAAAGCAGGGGAUCGCAAGACCUUGUGCUACUAGAGCGGCCGAUGGCAGAUUAGGUAGUUGGUGGGAUAAAAGCUUACCAAGCCGACGAUCUGUAGCUGGUCUGAGAGGACGAUCAGCCACACUGGGACUGAGACACGGCCCAGACUCCUACGGGAGGCAGCAGUGGGGAAUUUUGGACAAUGGGCGAAAGCCUGAUCCAGCAAUGCCGCGUGCAGGAUGGAGGCCUUCGGGUUGUAGACUGCUUUUGUACGGAACGAAAAGCCCCGGGUUAAUACCCUGGGGUCAUGACGGUACCGUAAGAAUAAGCACCGGCUAACUGCGUGCCAGCCGCCGCCGUAA
Molecule: ribosomal RNA, 498 nt
Filed under: uncultured bacterium
Lineage: Bacteria
Description: partial 16S ribosomal RNA
Rfam family: Bacterial small subunit ribosomal RNA
Source: RNAcentral